RNAcentral lists this ribosomal RNA (636 nucleotides) under uncultured bacterium. Its description in RNAcentral is "bacterial SSU rRNA". It matches the Rfam family "Bacterial small subunit ribosomal RNA", at positions 60 to 691 of the family's 1533-position model. The record is from RNAcentral.
AGUCGAGCGGUAGAGAGAAGCUUGCUUCUCUUGAGAGCGGCGGACGGGUGAGUAAUGCCUAGGAAUCUGCCUGGUAGUGGGGGAUAACGUUCGGAAACGGACGCUAAUACCGCAUACGUCCUACGGGAGAAAGCAGGGGACCUUCGGGCCUUGCGCUAUCAGAUGAGCCUAGGUCGGAUUAGCUAGUUGGUGGGGUAAUGGCUCACCAAGGCGACGAUCCGUAACUGGUCUGAGAGGAUGAUCAGUCACACUGGAACUGAGACACGGUCCAGACUCCUACGGGAGGCAGCAGUGGGGAAUAUUGGACAAUGGGCGAAAGCCUGAUCCAGCCAUGCCGCGUGUGUGAAGAAGGUCUUCGGAUUGUAAAGCACUUUAAGUUGGGAGGAAGGGCAGUAAAUUAAUACUUUGCUGUUUUGACGUUACCGACAGAAUAAGCACCAGCUAACUCUGUGCCAGCAGCCGCGGUAAUACAGAGGGUGCAAGCGUUAAUCGGAAUUACUGGGCGUAAAGCGCGCGUAGGUGGUUAGUUAAGUUGGAUGUGAAAUCCCCGGGCUCAACCUGGGAACUGCAUUCAAAACUGACUGACUAGAGUAUGGUAGAGGGUGGUGGAAUUUCCUGUGUAGCGGUGAAAUGCGU